This 439-nucleotide ribosomal RNA is filed under the name uncultured bacterium. RNAcentral describes it as "partial 16S ribosomal RNA". It matches the Rfam family "Bacterial small subunit ribosomal RNA", at positions 339 to 795 of the family's 1533-position model. The record is from RNAcentral.
CUACGGGAUGCACCAGUGGGGAAUAUUUCACAAUGGAGGAAACUCUGAUGCAGCAACGCCGCGUGGAGGAUGACACUUUUCGGAGCGUAAACUCCUUUUAUAUAGGAAGAAGAUGACGGUACUAUAUGAAUAAGCGCCGGCUAACUCCGUGCCAGCAGCCGCGGUAAUACGGAGGGCGCAAGCGUUACUCGGAAUCACUGGGCGUAAAGGGCGUGUAGGCGGAUUAAAAAGUCAGAAGUGAAAUCCUAUAGCUUAACUAUAGAACUGCUUCUGAAACUCUUAAUCUAGAAUAUGGGAGAGGUAGAUGGAAUUUCUGGUGUAGGGGUAAAAUCCGUAGAGAUCAGAAGGAAUACCGAUUGCGAAGGCGAUCUACUAGAACAUUAUUGACGCUGAGACGCGAAAGCGUGGGGAGCAAACAGGAUUAGAUACCCUUGUAGUC